UUUUAGAGGUCCGAAUCCCCAGUCAUUACCUCUUGUUUUCCGACUUAGAACGGCAAGAACGUGCAUAGGUACCUAAACAAAAAGGUCUUCCCCCCCUCAGGAGGGGGCUUUUCAACUCAGGAUGAACGCUGGCGGCGUGCCUAAUACAUGCAAGUCGAGCGAACAGACGAGGAGCUUGCUCCUCUGACGUUAGCGGCGGACGGGUGAGUAACACGUGGAUAACCUACCUAUAAGACUGGGAUAACUUCGGGAAACCGGAGCUAAUACCGGAUAAUAUAUUGAACCGCAUGGUUCAAUAGUGAAAGACGGUUUUGCUGUCACUUAUAGAUGGAUCCGCGCCGCAUUAGCUAGUUGGUAAGGUAACGGCUUACCAAGGCAACGAUGCGUAGCCGACCUGAGAGGGUGAUCGGCCACACUGGAACUGAGACACGGUCCAGACUCCUACGGGAGGCAGCAGUAGGGAAUCUUCCGCAAUGGGCGAAAGCCUGACGGAGCAACGCCGCGUGAGUGAUGAAGGUCUUCGGAUCGUAAAACUCUGUUAUUAGGGAAGAACAAAUGUGUAAGUAACUAUGCACGUCUGACUGUAC
RNAcentral lists this ribosomal RNA (587 nucleotides) under Staphylococcus epidermidis. RNAcentral's name for it is "bacterial SSU rRNA". The stretch from base 97 to 587 matches the Rfam family "Bacterial small subunit ribosomal RNA", at positions 1 to 478 of the family's 1533-position model. The record is from RNAcentral. Lineage: Bacteria; Bacillati; Bacillota; Bacilli; Caryophanales; Staphylococcaceae.